GCUUCUAAAAACAAGGAACCCUUCUGUUUAGCUGUCUGGGAGGGUUUGGGACACCUCUUUGCUCCGGCAAUGCAGAUCACGGCUGCCAUUUGCAGUGCUCUUUGUGCUACAUGAGGUACUUCAACCAAAUUCAGUGGCAGAGUAUUCCAAGUGAAGCGUAACCUGAAAGUGGUUGAAAUAAAACUAUGUCCCUUCCCAUAUCAGUAACCACUGCUAGAUUCCUUCCUAUGAGAAGCUUUUUAUUUUUUGCUUAUGGCAGAUAAAGCUACUGUUGACACUACAUGUUUUUUGGGCAACCACACCUCGCUGCUCAAGGAAGAUCAAGAACGAUUGGUGGCAAAGGAAGCCAAGUUCUGGAGCAAAGGAGUGCUGGCAGCCAGCAACUGAGAAGGAAAACACAUUAUGCUUCCAGCCCUGCCACCUACCACUGCUGUAACACGGGGACUGUGAAUGUGGGACAGACAGAGCUCUAGAGAAGAGCAUGGCAAGGCUGAGCACUGUGCGCACAGCUGGGGACAAGAGAAGUGUGCUGGUAUACAGAAGUGAAGAGUUCUAAUAAGUGUGUAU
Molecule: long non-coding RNA, 567 nt
Filed under: Gallus gallus (chicken)
Lineage: Eukaryota; Metazoa; Chordata; Aves; Galliformes; Phasianidae
Description: long non-coding RNA NONGGAT001173
Source: RNAcentral